Molecule: ribosomal RNA, 279 nt
Filed under: uncultured bacterium
Lineage: Bacteria
Description: partial 16S ribosomal RNA
Rfam family: Bacterial small subunit ribosomal RNA
Source: RNAcentral
UGCCAGCCGCCGCGGUAAGACGUAGGUGGCGAGCGUUAUUCGGAUUUAUUGGGCGUAAAGGGUCCGUAGGGGGUUUGUUAAGUCUGGUGUGAAAUCCCACGGCUCAACCGUGGAACUGCACUGGAUACUGAUAGACUAGAGCAUCGGAGAGGAGAGUGGAAUUCCUGGUGUAGCGGUGGAAUGCGUAGAUAUCAGGAGGAACACCGAUGGCGAAGGCAACUCUCUGGACGAUUGCUGACCCUGAGGGACGAAAGCCAGGUCAGCGAACAGGAUUAGAUA